UACGUAGGUGGCAAGCGUUGUCCGGAUUUAUUGGGUUUAAAGGGUGCGUAGGCGGCCAAAUAAGUCAGUGCUGAAAUAUCCCGGCUUAACCGGGAGGGUGGUAUUGAUACUGUGUGGCUAGAGUAAAGUUGAGGUAGGCGGAAUUGACGGUGUAGCGGUGAAAUGCACAGAUAUCGUCAAGAACUCCGAUAGCGUAGGCAGCUUACUAAGCUUAAACUGACGCUGAUGCACGAAAGUGUGGGGAUCAAACAGG
Molecule: ribosomal RNA, 253 nt
Filed under: uncultured bacterium
Lineage: Bacteria
Description: partial 16S ribosomal RNA
Rfam family: Bacterial small subunit ribosomal RNA
Source: RNAcentral